RNAcentral lists this ribosomal RNA (612 nucleotides) under Enterococcus faecium. Its description in RNAcentral is "bacterial SSU rRNA". It matches the Rfam family "Bacterial small subunit ribosomal RNA", at positions 105 to 703 of the family's 1533-position model. Lineage: Bacteria; Bacillati; Bacillota; Bacilli; Lactobacillales; Enterococcaceae. The record is from RNAcentral.
GGUGAGUAACACGUGGGUAACCUGCCCAUCAGAAGGGGAUAACACUUGGAAACAGGUGCUAAUACCGUAUAACAAUCGAAACCGCAUGGUUUUGAUUUGAAAGGCGCUUUCGGGUGUCGCUGAUGGAUGGACCCGCGGUGCAUUAGCUAGUUGGUGAGGUAACGGCUCACCAAGGCCACGAUGCAUAGCCGACCUGAGAGGGUGAUCGGCCACAUUGGGACUGAGACACGGCCCAAACUCCUACGGGAGGCAGCAGUAGGGAAUCUUCGGCAAUGGACGAAAGUCUGACCGAGCAACGCCGCGUGAGUGAAGAAGGUUUUCGGAUCGUAAAACUCUGUUGUUAGAGAAGAACAAGGAUGAGAGUAACUGUUCAUCCCUUGACGGUAUCUAACCAGAAAGCCACGGCUAACUACGUGCCAGCAGCCGCGGUAAUACGUAGGUGGCAAGCGUUGUCCGGAUUUAUUGGGCGUAAAGCGAGCGCAGGCGGUUUCUUAAGUCUGAUGUGAAAGCCCCCGGCUCAACCGGGGAGGGUCAUUGGAAACUGGGAGACUUGAGUGCAGAAGAGGAGAGUGGAAUUCCAUGUGUAGCGGUGAAAUGCGUAGAUAUAUGGAG